This 1116-nucleotide ribosomal RNA is filed under the name Bacillus safensis. Its description in RNAcentral is "bacterial SSU rRNA". It matches the Rfam family "Bacterial small subunit ribosomal RNA", at positions 343 to 1451 of the family's 1533-position model. The record is from RNAcentral. Lineage: Bacteria; Bacillati; Bacillota; Bacilli; Caryophanales; Bacillaceae.
GGGAGGCAGCAGUAGGAAUCUUCCGCAAUGGACGAAAGUCUGACGGAGCAACGCCGCUUGAGUGAUGAAGGUUUUCGGAUCGUAAAGCUCUGUUGUUAGGGAAGAACAAGUGCGAGAGUAACUGCUCGCACCUUGACGGUACCUAACCAGAAAGCCACGGCUAACUACGUGCCAGCAGCCGCGGUAAUACGUAGGUGGCAAGCGUUGUCCGGAAUUAUUGGGCGUAAAGGGCUCGCAGGCGGUUUCUUAAGUCUGAUGUGAAAGCCCCCGGCUCAACCGGGGAGGGUCAUUGGAAACUGGGAAACUUGAGUGCAGAAGAGGAGAGUGGAAUUCCACGUGUAGCGGUGAAAUGCGUAGAGAUGUGGAGGAACACCAGUGGCGAAGGCGACUCUCUGGUCUGUAACUGACGCUGAGGAGCGAAAGCGUGGGGAGCGAACAGGAUUAGAUACCCUGGUAGUCCACGCCGUAAACGAUGAGUGCUAAGUGUUAGGGGGUUUCCGCCCCUUAGUGCUGCAGCUAACGCAUUAAGCACUCCGCCUGGGGAGUACGGUCGCAAGACUGAAACUCAAAGGAAUUGACGGGGGCCCGCACAAGCGGUGGAGCAUGUGGUUUAAUUCGAAGCAACGCGAAGAACCUUACCAGGUCUUGACAUCCUCUGACAACCCUAGAGAUAGGGCUUUCCCUUCGGGGACAGAGUGACAGGUGGUGCAUGGUUGUCGUCAGCUCGUGUCGUGAGAUGUUGGGUUAAGUCCCGCAACGAGCGCAACCCUUGAUCUUAGUUGCCAGCAUUCAGUUGGGCACUCUAAGGUGACUGCCGGUGACAAACCGGAGGAAGGUGGGGAUGACGUCAAAUCAUCAUGCCCCUUAUGACCUGGGCUACACACGUGCUACAAUGGACAGAACAAAGGGCUGCAAGACCGCAAGGUUUAGCCAAUCCCAUAAAUCUGUUCUCAGUUCGGAUCGCAGUCUGCAACUCGACUGCGUGAAGCUGGAAUCGCUAGUAAUCGCGGAUCAGCAUGCCGCGGUGAAUACGUUCCCGGGCCUUGUACACACCGCCCGUCACACCACGAGAGUUUGCUAACACCCGAAGUCGGUGAGGUAACCUUUAUGGAGCCA